Rhinichthys klamathensis goyatoka is the source of this 207-nucleotide long non-coding RNA. RefSeq lists it as uncharacterized. Lineage: Eukaryota; Metazoa; Chordata; Actinopteri; Cypriniformes; Leuciscidae. The record is from RefSeq and is a predicted model, not a curated record. The transcript has 3 exons.
GAAAAGGUUUGUGCACACUUUACUGAGGAGUCUAAAGCCUUCCUGCUGGGUGAUCGACAACCAGUUUUUAGGCUAAAGAAAAGGAAGUUUGAGGAGACCUUUCAGGCAGAGCCACAACAUCGGGUUCAGGAAUUAUCAUCACAGGGAGAUGUACUGCAUCCUGUGUUGGGGGAUGCACCACUAGAAUCACUAGGAUCAUCAUAAGAG